UUGAAGGCUGUGAUGGUGAAUCCUACCUAUUUCAUGAGGGAUUGUUUUAUUCCCAUCUGGAGAUUUGAAAAUCAUCAAGCGAUUCUUCUGAGCCUCG
Hibiscus syriacus is the source of this 97-nucleotide small nucleolar RNA. The record is from RefSeq and is a predicted model, not a curated record. NCBI's taxonomy places the organism in Eukaryota, Viridiplantae, Streptophyta, Magnoliopsida, Malvales, Malvaceae.